This 393-nucleotide ribosomal RNA is filed under the name uncultured bacterium. RNAcentral's name for it is "partial 16S ribosomal RNA". It matches the Rfam family "Bacterial small subunit ribosomal RNA", at positions 523 to 918 of the family's 1533-position model. The record is from RNAcentral.
AUACGGAAGGUCCGGGCGUUAUCCGGAUUUAUUGGGUUUAAAGGGAGCGCAGGCGGAGAUGCAAGCGUGACGUCAAAUUUCGGGGCUCAACCCCGUCUCGCGUCGCGAACUGCGUCCCUUGGCUGCGGGAAGGGGAGGCGGAACUCGGGGUGUAGCGGGGAAAUGCAUAGAUAUCACGAAGAACUCCGAUCGCGAAGGCAGCCUUCCGGCCCGUCAACGACGCUCAUGCUCGAAGGUGCGGGUAUCAAACAGGAUUAGAUACCCUGGUAGUCCGCACAGUAAACGAUGGACACCCGCGGUUUGGCCUGUAUGGCUGAGCCGCCAAGCGAAAGCGUUAAGUGUCCCACCUGGGGAGUACGCCGGCAACGGUGAAACUCAAAUGAAUUGACGGGG